CAGGCUGCUGCAACUGUUUAUUAAAAACACAGCACUCUGCAAACACGAAAGUGGACGUAUAGGGUGUGAUGCCUGCCCGGUGCUGGAAGGUUAAUUGAUGGGGUUAGCGUAAGCGAAGCUCUUGAUCGAAGCCCCAGUAAACGGCGGCCGUAACUAUAACGGUCCUAAGGUAGCGAAAUUCCUUGUCGGGUAAGUUCCGACCUGCACGAAUGGCAUAAUGAUGGCAGCGCUGUCUCCAGCAGAGACUCAGUGAAAUCGAAAUCGCAGUGAAGAUGCUGUGUACCCGCGGCUAGACGGAAAGACCCCGUGAACCUUUACUACAGCUUUACAUUGAACUUUGACCUAACUUGUGUAGGAUAGGUGGGAGGCUUUGAAGCAGAUACGCCAGUAUUUGUGGAGCCAACCUUGAAAUACCACCCUGGUUAUGUUGGGGUUCUAACUUAGGAUUAACAAAUCCAAGGACAAUGUAUGGUGGGUAGUUUGACUGGGGCGGUCUCCUCCUAAAGAGUAACGGAGGAGUACGAAGGUGCGCUCAGAACGGUCGGAAAUCGUUCAAAGAGUAUAAAGGCAAAAGCGCGCUUAACUGCGAGACCCACAAGUCGAGCAGGUACGAAAGUAGGUCUUAGUGAUCCGGUGGUUCUGUAUGGAAGGGCCAUCGCUCAACGGAUAAAAGGUACUCUGGGGAUAACAGGCUGAUACCGCCCAAGAGUUCAUAUCGACGGCGGUGUUUGGCACCUCGAUGUCGGCUCAUCUCAUCCUGGGGCUGAAGCAGGUCCCAAGGGUAUGGCUGUUCGCCAUUUAAAGAGGUACGCGAGCUGGGUUUAGAACGUCGUGAGACAGUUCGGUCCCUAUCUACCGUGGGCGUUGGAAAUUUGAGAGGAUCUGCUCCUAGUACGAGAGGACCAGAGUGGACGAACCUCUGGUGUUUCGGUUG
Molecule: ribosomal RNA, 934 nt
Filed under: Moraxella catarrhalis
Lineage: Bacteria; Pseudomonadati; Pseudomonadota; Gammaproteobacteria; Moraxellales; Moraxellaceae
Description: bacterial LSU rRNA
Rfam family: Bacterial large subunit ribosomal RNA
Source: RNAcentral